ACCUUGAAAUUGUACCAUUUGCCUUGCUAUUAAGGACAAAAAUAAUAUUAUACUCUUUAAAAAAAAAAAAAGACAUGUUUCUCUAGGAGGUACCCAGGAUGUGUGCCUUGAGCUUAUAUGAAAAUGGUAUUUGAAAAUUCGUUUUUACACGGGAUAUAAAUUUGGGAACAGUUAUUGACUUUAUAGAUGGAGUUACAGUGGAGUCCUUAGUGUGAAUGCUCUUAGUACAGUGCUUUUCAACCUGUGUUCUCCCUAGCCAUGCUAUGUAAGAAAAGAGUUCUGUGGAGAAAAAAAAAGGAGGGUCAGCUAACUGACCAUCUUGUCCCUGAAAAAGGGGCAGGGCCAUGAGUCAAGAUGUGGAAGAGAGAGCCCUUAGUUAGGAGAUCAUAGUAGUUUGAGUGAGCUUUAUUGACUUGAAGUGGAAUGUGGUCAUGUGUGAGCCAAGUUUCAGAAAUCCCCAAUAUUCCAUUCUACUCCAGCAUAAUUUAUGUAUUAAAGUAGCAAUCUGUGUUCUACAAACAAUGUUCCCAAUAUAACAUAAUUAUUGUUUUCCCUGACUUCCUCACCUGUCCUUACCCCCAAGAGUGUUGUGCCCAGCAUGUAUUGUUUCUUUUUGAAAGGUUUCUGGGGCCAAAUUAUUUUAGAAAAUGAAACCUUCAUAUGUUGAAAGAUGUAAUUUGUUUUAUAAAAAUUAGAUGAUACAUAAACUUCUAGAACACAUUUAUGGCAUAAAAGAGGUAUAUUGUAAAUUAAAUGAAGAUGGCAUUCUUUAUUCGUCAUCCAACAUAAGUCAUUACUUGAACUGGGUGAGUACCCAUUUUUUAUAGGAUUAUUCCCCUUACUUUCUUUCCCUCUCAUUAAUUAUAUACAGUUAAUCCCUUAAAAAUUUCAGCUGAAAUGCUAAGACAAAGAAGUUUAUCAAUGUUUAUAUUAAUAAACUUAUAGACAAUCACAUUUAAAAUUAUGGUUUACAUUGUUCUUGGUUAAAAUUAAUCUUUGCUAAGUAUAGGUAUGGUUUGUGGUAUUGCGUGAUUUCCCCAAAUACUUACAUGGAAAAAAAAAUUAUAGUCUUGAAUCGGAAAUACAAACAGAAGGUGUGAAUUAGAAGCAUUUUGAUAGAAUCUUGAUGUCAAGAUACAACAAAAUUCUAGGACAAAGUAAGAGCUAACACUAUUAGUUCUCUCCAAAUUUCAAUAUUAAGUAGAAUAUAUUGCCACUAUGUUAAUUCUAAGCCAGGAGAUUUAUUUCUGAAUUGUUUGAUGUGCCCUAGGUGAGCAUGAUGAUUUGGGCUAAUGUUGAGCAAUGCAGUAGAAAUUGCACCCUAAUAAUAUAGAGGGAGGAAAAGACAUUCCCAGACAUUAACAAGGACACUUUAAACCAGGAGAGGAAUAUAGUAGGACCAAAUUGAACUUAAACGAGAAGAAAGGUCUCUGUCAUGGGGACAGAAUGUAGAUUGACCAGUUUAUUUAACCAUACCUUAUGUCUGUAGAAUUUGUCAUUUUUUUCUAAAUCCUUAAUACCCUAUGCAAUUGGGAUGUAAUUGGGAGAUUUUAGUAAUAAGGCCAAAUAUGCUAUUCUGUGAUACAGAAAGUAUACACUUGUCGUGUGCAUAUUUGGCAUGUACUUUUGAGACCAUGUUUUCACCUUUUCUGCCCUCUUAAGUGUCAUACAAAGGUCCUGUUCCUGAAAUCUCUUUAAAAAAAUCAUUUAUCAGUCUUGUGUAAAACAUUUUGUAAUACAUUUGAUUGUAAAUUUAUAUGUGGUUUUUCUGCUUUAUUGUUACUACUGUAACAUGGUUGUUAUAAUAGGGCAUUGUAUAAUAAAAGUCUGUGCUGGCAAUUACAUCUAAUGCUGAUGAUUAACAAGAGAGACACCUUGUCAGAGACUGAGAAGUAGGAAAAGCUGGAAGAGGGGAAGGAAAAUGGAUGAAUCUACCUGGGAUUUAGUUGUUUAAGUAAGCAAUCUGCACUGGUUCUUUAAAUGAAAAAGCAAAAUAUGUAUCUACCUUAUAAAAAUGAUUUUUUGUAUUUUGUUUUUGUUUUAUUCAUG
Long non-coding RNA from Sarcophilus harrisii (Tasmanian devil), 2049 nucleotides. The record is from Ensembl. Lineage: Eukaryota; Metazoa; Chordata; Mammalia; Dasyuromorphia; Dasyuridae.